RNAcentral lists this ribosomal RNA (1190 nucleotides) under Citharoides macrolepis (twospot largescale flounder). RNAcentral describes it as "partial 16S ribosomal RNA". It matches the Rfam family "Bacterial large subunit ribosomal RNA", at positions 596 to 2558 of the family's 2925-position model. The record is from RNAcentral. Lineage: Eukaryota; Metazoa; Chordata; Actinopteri; Pleuronectiformes; Citharidae.
UCCUCGUACCUUUUGCAUCAUGAUUUAGCCAGAACCCUUAAGCAAAGAGAACUUUAGUUUAAAUCCCCGAAACGAGGUGAGCUACUCCAAGACAGCCUGUUUAUCAGGGCGAACCCGUCUCUGUGGCAAAAGAGUGGGAAGAGCUUAGAGUAGAGGUGACAAGCCAAUCGAACCCCGUCAUAGCUGGUUGCCUGAGAAUUGGAUAUAAGUUCAGCCUCCCGGGUUCUACCUAAACCGAGAGAGUUAGUCAAAGGAGGGACAGCCCCUUUGAAACAGGACACAACCUUAUCAGGAGGGUAAAGAUUACAUUGACUAAAGGAAAAAUAUUUUGGUAGGCCUUAAAGCAGCCACCCAAACAGAAAGCGUUCAAGCUCAGAUAUAUAUUCUAAUAAGUUAAUCUAAACCCCCUAAAUGUACCAGGCCAUCCUAUACCCCUAUAGGAGUGAUUAUGCUAGAAUGAGUAAUAAGAAGAGAUCUUCUCCUCGCACACGUAUAACUCGGAAUGGACAAACCACCGAAUAUUAACGAUCCCAAAUAAAACAGAGGGGCCUGGAAAACUAACAAGAAAACCUUCCUUCGUUAACCCUACACCGGCGUGCUAACAAGGAAAGACUAAAAGAAAGAGAAGGAACUCGGCAAAUAAGCCUCGCCUGUUUACCAAAAACACCGCCUCCUGCGAAUAGGAGGUCCCACCUGCCCAGUGACUUUUGUUCAACGGCCGCGGUAUGUUGACCGUGCAAAGGUAGCGUAAUCACUUGUCUUUUAAAUGAGGACCUGUAUGAAAGGUACCACGAGGGCUUAACUGUCUCCUCUCUCAAGUCAAUGAAAUUGAUCUCCCCGUGCAGAAGCGGGGAUAAAACUACAAGACGAGAAGACCCUGUGGAGCUUGAGACGCCUAGGCAGACAACGUCAAUCCCCUCUGAACAAAGACCCAAACCAGUUGGUACCUGCCUUAAUGUCUUCGGUUGGGGCGACCCUGGGGUAACAAAAAACCCCCACAUGGAAUGGGAGCACUCCCACAACUAAGGGCCAUGGCCCUAAUUAACAGAAUUUCUGACCAAACUCGAUCCGGCAAGUCCGAUUAAUAAAACGAGUUACCCCAGGGAUAACAGCGCAAUCCCCUUUCAGAGCCCAUAUCGACAAGGGGGUUUACGACCUCGAUGUUGGAUCAGGACAUCCCAGUGGUGCAG